CGCGUAACACGUGGGCAACCUGCCCUAGAGUGGGGGAUAACAAUCCGAAAGGAUUGCUAAUACCGCAUGUGAAUACUGAAGGCAUCUUCGGCUAUUCAAAGGAUUUAUUCGCUCUAGGAUGGGCCCGCGGCCUAUCAGCUAGUUGGUGAGGUAACGGCCCACCAAGGCUUCGACGGGUAGCUGGUCUGAGAGGACGAUCAGCCGGAUUGGGACUGAGAUACGGCCCAG
Molecule: ribosomal RNA, 228 nt
Filed under: uncultured bacterium
Lineage: Bacteria
Description: partial 16S ribosomal RNA
Rfam family: Bacterial small subunit ribosomal RNA
Source: RNAcentral